UUUUAUGAGAGUUUGAUCCUGGCUCAGGACGAACGCUGGCGGCGUGCCUAAUACAUGCAAGUCGAACGCUUCUUUUUCCACCGGAGCUUGCUCCACCGGAAAAAGAGGAGUGGCGAACGGGUGAGUAACACGUGGGUAACCUGCCCAUCAGAAGGGGAUAACACUUGGAAACAGGUGCUAAUACCGUAUAACAAUCGAAACCGCAUGGUUUUGAUUUGAAAGGCGCUUUCGGGUGUCGCUGAUGGAUGGACCCGCGGUGCAUUAGCUAGUUGGUGAGGUAACGGCUCACCAAGGCCACGAUGCAUAGCCGACCUGAGAGGGUGAUCGGCCACAUUGGGACUGAGACACGGCCCAAACUCCUACGGGAGGCAGCAGUAGGGAAUCUUCGGCAAUGGACGAAAGUCUGACCGAGCAACGCCGCGUGAGUGAAGAAGGUUUUCGGAUCGUAAAACUCUGUUGUUAGAGAAGAACAAGGAUGAGAGUAACUGUUCAUCCC
RNAcentral lists this ribosomal RNA (496 nucleotides) under Enterococcus faecium. RNAcentral's name for it is "bacterial SSU rRNA". It matches the Rfam family "Bacterial small subunit ribosomal RNA", at positions 1 to 468 of the family's 1533-position model. The record is from RNAcentral. Lineage: Bacteria; Bacillati; Bacillota; Bacilli; Lactobacillales; Enterococcaceae.